RNAcentral lists this long non-coding RNA (1125 nucleotides) under Drosophila guanche. The record is from RNAcentral. Lineage: Eukaryota; Metazoa; Arthropoda; Insecta; Diptera; Drosophilidae.
CACUCUAAAAACUGUACAGUUCAAGACAGAGAUACAAUAUACAAAGAACAGAGAACAAACUCCAAAAAUGAAACGAGAGCCACUGAAAGACAUUACCAACGUGCAAACGGAUAAGAAAAUGACCCAACAGAACACCAAAAAUGGGCAACCAGCCCGCAGAUGCUUCGAGAUCUUUAGAGGAUCUAACUGAUGGGCGGACCAGAGAGUGAGUGUCAGAGAGGAGUCCGAAUAGUAUUAUCAUGUUCAUGGUUAUUUUGAAAAUCUGCAGAACUCACACAGAAUAGAGAAACACACAAAAGACACAAUCUUAAACCACAAGAAAUAAACGACGAAUUUAAUUUUUAUUGGGGUGGGUUGUGUACGUGUCGAUCGGACACAUAUAUAUGUAUGUAUUAACUUGUUAGUCAUUUUCGAUUUGUUUCGCCUGUUCUUCCAUCCUUUACGAUUUCUUUUAGGUCUGUCCUUUUUUAACAUGCUUUCCUCCUCCCUUUUCCUCCUUUUCGUCAUCAGAUAACCGUUCCGGAGUGUUCCAGAUCCUGACUAUUACUGAUAGUGGCAUGUCUCCUUAAAGUACUCGUACGAUUUGAUAUGUUCAAGAGGGUGUUGAGUCUGAGCAACCUGUUUUCCAAAUAUUCCGUCAUAACCUGCCGUUCAUCAGCUGUCGCUGUAAGUUGAAGCAAUACAGAAUCGUUGCGUCUGCGUUGAAGGAGAGCCUCAUUUAAUAUGGAUAUAACUUUGGGGGAGAAUUUCGUUAUGCUUAAGUCCAUUCUGCCUUUUUUCAUAGUGACUGGCACAUUAUGUUGCAACGCUAUAUGCAUGACAGUCUGCAGCUCAUGCGAUGUCAAAGCAUCCACGUUGCUGUCCCACAACUGGCAGUUGCACUCAUUGCUGCAGUCACCAAGAGUAUCAACAUAGAUACUUAUAUCGGGUGGCUGAAGGUAGUGCAUCAGCUGCGUUUUGCUCAGAAUUUGUGUGAUUAUCCGCAAUGAAUCAUCCUCUUCAUAGGGCUCUGUCUAAACAUCCGUAGGAUCAGCGACAAGCUCUGGUGUCACAUGCACACACACAUUCAUAGGCUCUGUUGGAGUCGGCUCUGUGCUAUUUAACUGCCGCCAGGGAAAAUUUUGG